Rhipicephalus sanguineus (brown dog tick) is the source of this 212-nucleotide long non-coding RNA. RefSeq lists it as uncharacterized. The record is from RefSeq and is a predicted model, not a curated record. The transcript is spliced from 4 exons. Lineage: Eukaryota; Metazoa; Arthropoda; Arachnida; Ixodida; Ixodidae.
GAUUACACCGUGUAGGACUAUACCUCCAGGUGGUUACAAGAAAAAGAAGAUGGUCGUUCCAGGGAACUGAGGAGGGACUGUCUUCUCAUCGCCCUCGUGCUUAUUCUGUUCGUGCUGCUCAUCUUGUGGCUUGCCUGCGGCGGGUUCUUCAGCGGUGCUGAUAAAGGAGACGGCUCACAGACUCCAACUCUCGACAUCGGUAGUUUUCCUGG